CAGCUCUUCAAGUGGUCGGGAUAAUUAUUGGGCUUAAAGUGUCCGUAGCCGGUUUAGUAAGUUCCUGGGUAAAAUCGGGGUAGCUUAACUAUCUGUAUGCUAGGAAUACUGCUAAACUAGAGGGCGGGAGAAGUCUGAGGUACUACAGGGGUAGGGGUGAAAUCUUAUAAUCCUUGUAGGACCACCAGUGGCGAAGGCGUCAGACUGGAACGUGCCUGACGGUGAGGGACGAAAGCCAGGGGAGCGAACCGGAUUAGAUACCCGGGUAGUCCUGGCCGUAAACGAUGCAUACUAGGUGAUGGCAUGGCCAUGAGCCGUGUCAGUGCCGUAGGGAAACCGUUAAGUGUGCCGCCUGGGAAGUACGGUCGCAAGGCUA
This 376-nucleotide ribosomal RNA is filed under the name uncultured organism. Its description in RNAcentral is "partial 16S ribosomal RNA". It matches the Rfam family "Archaeal small subunit ribosomal RNA", at positions 477 to 851 of the family's 1478-position model. The record is from RNAcentral.